CUUCACCGACCCCAACCACAAAGGCCGGCCACCCACACGCUCCUGCCCAUACGUCGCCAGCAACGCCUGCGCCUC
This 75-nucleotide antisense RNA is filed under the name Streptomyces sp. CNZ288. RNAcentral's name for it is "ASpks TB sRNA". It matches the Rfam family "ASpks TB sRNA". The record is from RNAcentral. Lineage: Bacteria; Bacillati; Actinomycetota; Actinomycetes; Kitasatosporales; Streptomycetaceae.